GCCGGUCUAGUAUAGUGGUCAGUACGUCUCUUUGUGGCAGAGAUGACCCAGGUUCGAUUCCUGGGACCGGCA
RNAcentral lists this transfer RNA (72 nucleotides) under Yamadazyma tenuis ATCC 10573. RNAcentral describes it as "Candida tenuis ATCC 10573 tRNA". It matches the Rfam family "tRNA". From Rfam's summary of the family: Transfer RNA (tRNA) molecules are approximately 80 nucleotides in length. RNAcentral also lists the same sequence under 1 other name. Lineage: Eukaryota; Fungi; Ascomycota; Pichiomycetes; Serinales; Debaryomycetaceae. The record is from Rfam by way of RNAcentral.